GAUGAACGCUGGCGGCGUGCCUAAUACAUGCAAGUCGAGCGAACAGACGAGGAGCUGCUCCUCUGACGUUAGCGGCGGACGGGUGAGUAACACGUGGAUAACCUACCUAUAAGACUGGGAUAACUUCGGGAAACCGGAGCUAAUACCGGAUAAUAUAUUGAACCGCAUGUUUCCAUAGUGAAAGACGGUUUUGCUGUCACUUAUAGAUGGAUCCGCGCCGCAUUAGCUAGUUGGUAAGGUAACGGCUUACCAAGGCAACGAUGCGUAGCCGACCUGAGAGGGUGAUCGGCCACACUGGAACUGAGACACGGUCCAGACUCCUACGGGAGGCAGCAGUAGGGAAUCUUCCGCAAUGGGCGAAAGCCUGACGGAGCAACGCCGCGUGAGUGAUGAAGGUCUUCGGAUCGUAAAACUCUGUUAUUAGGGAAGAACAAAUGUGUAAGUAACUAUGCACGUCUUGACGGUACCUAAUCAGAAAGCCACGGCUAACUACGUG
Molecule: ribosomal RNA, 496 nt
Filed under: uncultured bacterium
Lineage: Bacteria
Description: partial 16S ribosomal RNA
Rfam family: Bacterial small subunit ribosomal RNA
Source: RNAcentral